CUUGACUAAUUAUAAGAGGUUUAGCCUGCCCAGUGACACAUGUUCAACGGCCGCGGUAUCCUAACCGUGCGAAGGUAGCGUAAUCACUUGUUCUUUAAAUGAGGACUAGUAUGAACGGCACCACGAAGGUUAUACUGUCUCCUUUCUCUAAUCAGUAAAACUAAUCUCCCCGUGAAGAAGCGAGGAUAAAUUUAUAAGACGAGAAGACCCUAUGGAGCUUUAAACUAACCAGCAUUUGCUAUAUACAAAAUUUUUAACUUCAAAGAUAAUCUAGCCCUCUGACUGGUAAUUUUCGAUUGGGGUGAUCACGGAAUAAAAAUAACCUCCGUGUCGAAAGGGCUCACCUGAGCAAAAAGCGACAGCUUYCCGCACUAAAAAAUUAACGUUUAUUGACCCAAUAUUUUGAUCAACGAAC
Molecule: ribosomal RNA, 415 nt
Filed under: Boana punctata group sp. ABGD cluster 85
Lineage: Eukaryota; Metazoa; Chordata; Amphibia; Anura; Hylidae
Description: partial large subunit ribosomal RNA
Source: RNAcentral